CCAUGAAAAUACAACUACACCUCGCCUUCGACAAACACUGAGAAACCUUUUCUUUUUCUUUGCAUUUCUCAAACCCUUUUCUCUCUACUAUCUUAACAAACCCUAAUCCCCAAAAACCCUAAAUUUAAUUUCAAACAACCGUAAAUUCAUCUCUCUCGUUUCACUUCGCGAUUUGUAGUAGCAAUAUAGCUGGAGCUCACUUGUACAAGUCUUGGGCAACAUAUAUAAAUCGCUCAAUUAUUCUUACACCUGAGUGCUGAAUUUUGGUGAAAAAUCAACAUGACAUAUGUGGAGUAUUUCAGCCAUAUCUGGAGUUUUAGAUGUCCAAUUAGUGUCACUCCAAGUUCUAAUGAAAGCUAAGAUCCAUAUCUACAACUUUCAUGAAGACACCGGGA
Molecule: long non-coding RNA, 395 nt
Organism: Cicer arietinum (chickpea)
Lineage: Eukaryota; Viridiplantae; Streptophyta; Magnoliopsida; Fabales; Fabaceae
Source: RefSeq, a predicted model, not a curated record